CUCUCUCCAGUGGGGGUUAAAAAGUGAGAUAUUGAUGUGACGCAAGCCUCCAGUGUCGCUGUAAAGGAAUGAAAGAAGUACAGUCUUCUUCUUCUUCUUCUUCAUUAGUGCCUAAUUACAUUUCCUGCUUGCAGAGUGAGACUGCUUCUUUGAUGUAACACUAAUUAAUUGAGAUUUCCAAAAGAAAAGACGGCAACAGAAAAGGCAACAUUUCUUCAGCGGCUCUGGAGAAGGAUUAGCAGUAUAGUUAUUAUGGAUCGGAUUAUCUGCGCUCUAAAACAGUAUCUUAACAAUUAAGUUCAUUAGACAAAAAAAAAAGAACAAUGAGAAUCAAUAACGAUUUCACAACAUUUCAGGGUAGAUCAAUUUAUCAUGCUGUUAAGAGAAAUACAUCUCAUCCUGCUGACUGACAGAAAGCCGUUUGUUUGUAGAAUAAUGAAGCAGAGCUGAGGAGUACAAUGACUUCGUGUCAUAGAGAGGUCACAAGGUGGUGGACUUAAUUUAUCGUCCUCCUGAUGCCCCCCAUCAGCUGUAGUCUUGAGGGUGCAUGUUGAACCUAUUCUGACAUCCCGGUGUAGUCAGGUGAAGCUGUCAAAUCCAACAUUAAAGGCCAUUUUUGACCUUCAUAAAACAAUCUCAGCUUUAUUGGCUUUCGACCUCAUCUUACAGAUUUAACAAACUUUGUUGUGAUGUGAAACACUAACCUCUGGAUGAUUGGAGCUUCUUAUAUUUUUGUCAAUCAACUUGAUUGGGGUGAUUGGAUGGAGGGUCAUACGCUGUAUUCAGUAGGGGUGUCCCGAUAUAACUUUUUACCUCUGAUACAAUUCCGAUAUUGUAGCCUUCAAUAUUAGCGAUACCGAUAUUGAUCUGAUAUUACCAUAAACUUGUGCAUGAUAAGUUUUGCACUCAGCUGCAACAUCUUUUUCAGACUUGAAUAAAAAAUACUGCCUCAAGGCCAACACCACUCUUACUCUUUGGUACUUUGUUAGUACCUGAGUACACACUGUUGUUGUGAUUCGGUUGGGUCUACUUGCUGGAUCCAGAUGCUACUAGAUAGAGGUGCUGGAGCAGAGUCUGUAAUGGACUGCUUGUAUCGGAGUGCUGAUAUCAGAGAUUUUAGUUGGAGGAUGAUAUAAUCUGAUAUUUGAUUUUUUUGCUGAUAUCAUAGCGAUAUCAAUAUCGUAUCGGGACACCCCAAGUAUUCAGCCAUGUCUUCAGUGGAAUCUUAUUGAUGUUAAGGUUUCAAGCUCACUCUUGUUCACACAGUCCCUCUGGAGACAAACAGACAUCAAAAAUAGGUGUUAGUUUUAUUAAAUUAGAGUCCACAUAUACUUUACUGAGGGUGGAGUCAUUAAGGUAGCAGCCUCAGGUUCAUGUCAUUCCACACUCUGUCUUCCCUGUUUCUGACCGUCUCCACUGUCCCAACUUCUGAAUAAAGGUAUGAAAAAUCCCAUAAAUGAAUGCAAUUAAAAACAGUUAGCAGCCAACUCUUAGCAUUUGUGGGGUACUUGAUCUACCUUUACUUUACACUGCAGAUUCAGAACGUCAAACAUUAGCUAUAGCCGUCGCUGUAUUAAAAACGGUUGUGUGAGGACUGCAUACAAAAACAUCCGUCAGAACUCCUGAAGAUUCACAAUGUCACUAGACUAGCUCAAUAUUCAACAAAGUGAUGGCAUGGUAGUAUCGAUCUCAGCUCUCUGUAUGAUUGCAAAUCAGGUGCAUUUAAGAGUUUUUCUGAAGUUUUUAAGUGUUUUAUAAAAAGCACCCUUCAAACACCCUCUCAAUUUGAAAUGGUUUUAAAUUGCUUUCAAUGCAACUUGAUUUCAGCUUCUCACAAUGGCAACUUUAAGUCUUUUUCUCACAGUCAAUAAAAUUGAUAAUAUUAUGAUGAUUUUCAACACUUCUUGCCGCUUAUGAAUACAUUUGGAAUACCAAGAUGCCACUAUGUGAAUUUCUGAAUAUCUGGCUUUGGAUUAUAUGAGCUGCUUCUGUCAACCCAGGAGAUUUCUCAGGUAAACAGACAGGUGUUGCCUACCAGUUCUCAGAAUUCAAAGUAAAUCUCGAGUUUGAGUUUGAACAGUCAGUGUUUAUGCACCUAAAACCCAGAACAGCCUGCUCGCUCACUCAUCGUUUGCACAAACUCUGUCUUCAUUUACCUCUGCGUGUUGUCUUUCUGUGUCUCUGUCCUCACUUUUCUAAAGUUUAAUCACUCCGUUAAGCAAUUUGAGUUGCUCUUUUAUAUGAUUAAGCGCCUUCGAUUAUUUUGAACAUGUGUACAAAAGUAAUUGAAAGCUGCUGUGACCUCUAACAAGCUAAUAAUCACACUUCUACUCUGCAGCACUCGACAGAAUCGUUUGCAGACUCUUAUUGGUCCCAGGUUGGAUGGUGGAGUUCUCUCUUGAGGAAAAUUGUGAUCAUGAUGAAAGCGUAACAACACGACAGUCUUGGGAAUCACUUCUGUGCAAUAUUUUGCAGAUGGUGAGUAUAAUUAGUGUCCUGGUAUCAAAGGCAUUCACAGAAUCUGCUUCGUUGCAUCCUCCCUCUCUUUUUCUCUGUCUCCUGGUAAUAUUCUGCCCAGUUAGACAGUUUUUUUUCUUUCUGUUUCACUUGGAUAAUUUUUGAUUUUAUUCCAUCGAAGGCAGAACUGUGAACUCUGACCUCAAGUGCUGCUAAUUAAAAAAAUAAGAGCUGUUAAAAAACUUUUGUCUGGUAGUCACAGGCUCGGCCAGGAUUAUUUCUAAAAUCUGGGACUUGGACUAUGAGUGGGUGUUAAACACGAGCUCUUGGACUAUUUCCUGAAGGCUUGAAUUGAGAUAAAAGUGACAGCAGUUUGAUCCAAUUUUGUUUUUUCCUUAUUAACCAAGCCAGCGUUUGUAUUGCUCUUCCAAUAACCUUUAUACAGGUUUGCUUAGAGAUGCAACAACAAAUAUAUUUUUUGUCAAUUUGUUUUUUUGUUUUUUUAAUACUGAAAUAACUGCAACACUAGCUUUGUUUUCCUGGAUCAGGACAGACUUUUGCUUUUAUAUAGUUUGAGUAAAACUGUUGACAGCAAUAGUAAGGAGAGGGAUGAUGCAGUCAGGAUCUGUCUCACCUUGAGAGGUGGUUCUAGUUUGAGGAAUCACCUGUUCACUAUAUAUCAUCUCGUAUUUGAUUCAGAAACAGAAGCUGGUCAAUGGAGCAGAGGGGAAACGGUCGAUUUUUACAAUGAACCUUAACUUGCACCACAUUGACCCACGAUCAAUUAUGUUUUCUUUGUCACAAUAAUAAUACUUUUAUUUAUAACGCACUUCUACAAGUGCUCAAAGAUGCUUUAUAAGAAACACAAUUUAAAAUACAGAAAAUUUGGAGGAAUAAGACCAAAAAUUUAAAAGGUUAAAAUUUACAUAAUAUGAAAAGACAUUAAAAGAACACUUCACAGGUUUAAAGCCAGUUUUAAUUGGUAUUUUCACUGCUAUUUCACCACAACUUUUAUUACAAGUUGAACUAAAAAAUAGGCAAUUAAAAUACUGAAGGUGCUGACGAGACAUCGAAUACAAAGACAAAGUUCAAUAAGGGGAUUUCAGAGGAUUAGAGUCUAAUACAAGACUUUUUUGUUGUUGUUGCAAAGCUUAUCACAACUUUGAGAGUCAACACAGCAGCAAAUAUUAUAUCCUCUAAUAGUGAAAAGAUAGACAGUGUUUUGGAUCUAUUUGUGUCACUUCAACAAUACCUAAAAUCACUUGGACUUGUGUUUUUUUUGCUCCUGGAUCAGGCCUUCGCAAGAGGGUUCAGAAGCUCUUGAGUAAAUUGUCGAUCAGUCUGUUUACAUGGCCUGAGUUAUGAAAAAUAGCUUUAUAAACAGGCAGCGUCCUUAACAUCGUUAAAGACUGAAGCUCAGGACUCAGAUGGCUUUAAAUCACACAGAAGGUCAGGCCAUGAGCGAUGAGUAUUUUUUGUGUGUUUCAGCUCUGUUGAGUCAUGCGCCUGCUUCAAAAGGGUUUGUCGGGCCUGAGUUCUGCCUGAGGCACUCUUCGGCUCAGGAGCCAUCAGUGUCUCCCUGCCAAACCACAGCAGGCACUGGAAAGCACCAGCAAAGCACCUCCCCACACAAGCAAGAGCACACAACUGUCUAAACAUAAAAAAAGAAGCAAUACAACCACAUUUUGUGACAAAGAAUCAGUGAAACUGCAGAUUUCUGAUCUAUUUUCAGCCAAACGUGAUAAAUUUGGUCUCACUUUGCUCUCUGUAGCAGAAAAUUGAGCGCAUAAUUAGCACUUGAGGAUGACACAACAGGUGAAAAUGCUUACUCAUCUCAUCUGCAGAUAAAUGGGUGCUCACGCCAUCACACGCACACCUUGUACUCAUCAGUUACCCACGUGAGACAGGUGGUGCUGGAGAGUCAGUUUUUUCACUCUCUCUCUCUCCCCACAGCAGUGUGUGCUGGCAGCCUCCCCGGACAUACUUUGAGCCACCUACGCACACAAGUGUUGCAGAUGGGAUUUGGUGUAGCAUGAAGCUGAAUGUUCCUUUACAGUCCUGCAGGGAAGGAAAUCACACUUUCACUUUCUCACCUUUAAAUCCUGCAAACUCAAGGUCACAAUACUUGAAGAGGAGGCUGAUAAAACAACAAAGUCUGUCCCGCUGCUCAAACAAUUAAAUAAUGGAGCAGAGAAAUAUAAUUCACAAGAAUGUUAACAUUUUUCCAAGAAGAAAUACGCUAAUAGAAC
RNAcentral lists this long non-coding RNA (4706 nucleotides) under Xyrichtys novacula (pearly razorfish). Lineage: Eukaryota; Metazoa; Chordata; Actinopteri; Labriformes; Labridae. The record is from RNAcentral.